This is a long non-coding RNA of Pangasianodon hypophthalmus (striped catfish), 6192 nucleotides long. RefSeq lists it as uncharacterized. The transcript has 4 exons. NCBI's taxonomy places the organism in Eukaryota, Metazoa, Chordata, Actinopteri, Siluriformes, Pangasiidae. The record is from RefSeq and is a predicted model, not a curated record.
AGAGGUGAAAACCCAUCAGAAUAUUUCCCUUGCACAUGGCAACCUGUGCUCUCUGGGAUGAUCUCCACAAGGGGUGUUUGAGCCAAGUUUUUUAAGAAUGCCACGGGUCCCAGCUCCUCUCUCUCUGGAACCACCGUUGCCAGAGCCACAGAGAGAGGCUCCAUGGUUUAAGGAGAUUGAGGUGGUAUUUUUGCAGUGCAUUGCCUCUAUCUGUUCACCUGACCUCAUAGUCUACUUCCCCAACUCGCUGUGUGACCUCAAAGGGCCCUUGCCAUGUGAGUAAUUUAGAGUUUGACCUGGGAAGAACUUUUAUCUCCUGGUGUGAAUUCCCCUAGCCAAGCUCCCCUUUUAUACACUUAGGACUCCUGUUCCUGGGCAUGACACAAAUUCUCCUGUGUUAGGUGACUUAAGACAUAGAGUUUUGCUCUCAGGUCUAGAACAUACUGAAUCUUGUACUGCACAUAACGCAGUAUCUGCAGUUGCAUAACGGGUGUCCCAUUGCAUAAUUAUGAAUUAUAAUCCACCAGGACUAACACAAAGUGAUACCCUCAUGUGCACCACUCUAAUGGCCCAAUGCCAAUUCUUUUGAAGGGGACCUUGAUUAAGGGUAAUGGGUGCAAUAGUGCUUUUGGGGUGGAUGACAUAUUCACCAGCUGACAUUUGUGGUAUGCCACAUGCCAUUAGAUGGUUGCCUAUUUUAUUCUGUCCUAGGUGGCCUACCAUGGGAGUAUAAUGAGCUGCAUUGAAAAGCAUUUACCUGUGGCUUUUUGGAACCAAUCAUUGAGGGGUCUCUUCUUUUGCAUAAGUGUUCUGCAUCACUUGAUAUAACUUAUUCUUGAAGAUUGAAAAAUAUGGUGAGUGUCUGGCUGGAUUAUCUGACCUCAAUUACUCUCACUUGGUGAAAGGCAUAGUGAAGUGACUUGUCACACCGGAACAUUUUAAGAAGAAGAAGACUUUGUUACAUAUACUUUACAGCACAGUGGAAUUAUUUUCUUUCCAUAUCCCAGCUUGUUAGGAGGUUGGGGUCAGAGUGCACAGUCAGCCGUGAUACAGCAGCCCUGGAGCAGAGAGAGUUAAGGGCCUUGCUCAGGAGCCCAACAGAGGCAGCGCUGAGGCUUGAACCCCCAAACUUCUGCUCAGUAACCAGAACGUUAACCAUUGAGCCACCACUGUCCUUAAAUGAAAACCUGCCCCCUUACUAAAGCCUCUCCCUGGAAAUUUAUUAAUAUGGGUACCAGCAGAUAUUCAUGAAUAUCCCAUUGCACACACCUCACCUUCACUAAUUGUGCAUUUCCCAAUUCCUUGCCUUGAAUCAGGCUUUGGUGCACUGAGGUCUGAUUAUAUCCUGAGUCCACCAAGGCCUGAUAUAUACUCCUUUGGAUACCCACUCAUAUGUGGUACAUUCCUGCUCAAUUAGGGAGGCCUGAGGGAGGCCACCAUCCUGAGGAAACACUGAUCCUUGAAAUGCUUGGAUUCCCUGCAGUGCCAACAAACCUGCCUGGGAGAGAUAGAGAGAGAGAGAGAGAGAGAGAGAGAGAGAGAAACAAGGGAUGCCUGGACCAGGGACUGCUGCCAGAUGAUCCUUUGCCAACUGAACAGCUUUGUCUAGGGACGCGGGCCGGUGGCACUAGACCCACUCUGCUGUUCCUGUAGGAAGUGGAGCGAUGAACUGCUCCAGUACCACUAGCUCAAUGAACAGUUCCACAUCCUGCUCCUCUGCCAUCAAGCACCGACAGCAGGAGUCCUUCAGCUGCUGCAUGUAGAUGAAGCCGACCUUGGUGAGCUGCAGCGACUGGAAGUGCCAGGCUGACCCGCUGCAGGACUACCCUCUUGAGGUUCAGAUACUCCAGCUGUGCCUGUGAUGGCAGCUGCUGGAUGGCAAGCUGGGCUUUCUCUGAUAGGGGAGGAAUCACAGAGCCCAUUCAUCCUCCGGCCAUUCCCGCACACUUGGAAAAAGUCAAUGAAGGCCUCCAGAUCAUCAGUUGAGGCCAUCUUGGUGAACUCCAUGUGUGGGAUGGUGGCAGGGGACACAGCUGGAGAGGUGUGGGAAACUGGAGCAGCUUCUGGUGUGCCCCCUGGUUCUUGGCCUGCUCCUUAGCGAGGGUUUCAAAGCAUAGGUGCUGCUCAUUGCGUAAGUCGAGGAGAUCUUGGUGUUGGGUUUCAUGGAAGCUGGUGAAGGGGCUUUAUGAUUUUGCAGAGUGGGGUGGCUUCCAUGGCAGUGUCUGAGUCCUCUUGGGUCCCGGGUUUCGGGACACUACUGUACAACCUGGUGUGUAUGCGUGUGGAGGAAGACUCCAGGGGCAGGUAGAAUUUCAGCAGAGCUCUAGGCUUGUGUUUAUUUGCGGACUUUCAAAACCUCAGUCCAAAAACAAACAAACUGAAAAGGGGCCGUCAUCAGCUUGUGGCUUUUGCCCCAUUCAAGUUAAAGGUUCAAGUUCAUGCUCUGUGUGUGUGUGUUGCACGGUCUACCAGCUAUGCCAUCUAUCCACUCUGCUGCUAUGAAGACAAGCAGAGUGAGCUGAUCAGGCUACAGAGAUGGAGAGACAAAAUAUAGAAGCAACAGCUGCAGCAACAACAGCGCCAGCAGCAGCAAGAGGAAAGGAGCAGGAACCUGGCCAGGAGAGGCCCUGGUCGGCCCCGGAAGAGCAAACAUGGCCUGUGUGCUCUGUCUCCACCUUCAGGCAAGCAGGAUGCCAAGUGUGGAAAGAACAAGAGGAACAAGAUACUGAGGAACAAAAGUGAGCUCCAAACUAAUGGAUGUAUAUAUGGGUGAAUGUCAUAACAGGGGUUCAAAAGUGAAGCCAAAAUGUCUCUGAUCAUGUUAGUAAAUGGAAAACAAGCCAAACUUGCAAUUUGUUUCCCCCACGAUUUUCUCCCUAAUGUAGUCAUGGCCAAGUCCCGCCCAUCAGGCAUCUCUCCACUGUCACACAACAGCUACCAACCAGGGAGGAUGAAGUCUAAGUGUACUGUACUGUAGCUUGGUAGGGUUAGCGAAUCACUCCUUUUAAAUGAACUCCAUCACUAGAAUGAGUGAUGCAUAAAAGAACACACUUCUCCAUUCAGAUGUGUAACUUACUGCAAGUGUCAGAUCUAGAUGAAAAUCAUGGAGAGCAGUGAUUUUUUUUCUUGAAAAAAAAAAAAAAAGGUUGUGUUGAGUGUAAAUGUUGAUUGCUGUUUAGCAGUAUAUUUUCAGUUGGUAUAUUACAUUAGAGACUUACACUGAACAGCCAUAACAUUAAAGCCACUUGGUUAAUAUUGUGUAGGUCCCCCUUGUGCUGCCAAACAACUCUGGGGCUUUCAUGGAUCGGACCUGUUUGUUCAGCAAAUCCCACAGAUGCUCCCACAGAUUGUAUUGAGAUCUGGGGAAUUUGAGGCAAAAUAAAACACCUUUGAACCCUUAGUCAAGCUCCUCAAACCAUUCCUGAACAAUUUUUGGAGUCUGGCAAUGUGCAUUAUCUUGCUGAAAGAGGCCACUGCCAUUAGGGAAUACCGUUGCCAUGAAGGGGUGUACUUGGUCAGUAACAAUGUUUAGGUAGGUGGUACGUGUCAAAGUAACAUCCACAUGAAUGCCAGGACCCAAAGUUUCCCAGCAGAACAUUGCCCAGAGCAUCACACUGCCUCUACUGGCGUGCUUUCUUCCAUAGUGCAUCCUGGUGCCAUCUCUUCCCCAGGUAAGCGAUGCACAUGCACCCAGCCAUCCACAUGAUGUAAAAGAAUAAAUUUUGAAUGUAUUUAUUUCUGUAAAGCUGCUUUGUGACAAUGUCCAUUGUUAAAAGCACUAUACAAAUAAAAUUGAAUUGAACUGGAUUGAAAAGAAAAUGUGAUUCAUCAGUCCAGGCCACCUUCUUUCCACCUUCCAUUGCUCCACGGUCCAGUUCUGAUGCUCAUGUGCUCAUUGUAGGUGAUUUUGGCAGUGGACAGGAGUCAGCAUGGGUACUCUGUGCAAUGUGACAGCUUUCUAUCAUAGCCAGCAUUAACUUUUUUUUUUUUAGCAAUUUGUGCUACAGUAGCUCUUCUGUGGGAUCGGACCAGAUGGACUAGCCUUCGCUCCCCACGUGCAUCAGUGAGCCUUGGGCACCCAUGACCCUGUUGCCGGUUCACCGGUUGUCCUUCAUUGGACCACUUUUGACUCUGGAUCCACUAUGAUUCUGACCAGGAUAAUGUGGUUACUGAAGAUGAAGAGUGGUAAAUUGUAAGGCAAGGAUGGUACACCUACUAAAGUUAUGAAGAAUGUGAAAGCUGACAUUUUUUUAUGCAUCAAAGGGCCUUUUCCCCAUCUGAACCUUUUUCAACAUAAAACUAUAGAUUGUUAUUUAUUGCUAUUUCUUUGAGCAAUGGCAUAAAAAUCAUAAUGUUAUUUAUAAUAUACCAUUUUUUGCACAUGCCUUUUCUGAAAAUGAGAAUCCUAGACUGUGUUGGUGUGCAGAUAAGGUGAGGCGUAACACAUUUAGCUGAGGCGUAAAUCCCUUCACCCUUCUUAUUAACACAUGUCAGUAACAAUGGGCAGUUUUAUGGGUCCUUACCUUUAGAAAUCUCUUUUCUCCUGUGAUCAAAGUGGAGCCCAUGAAAGCCUUCCCUCAGAGGAUUCUUCACAUCCUUUAGUUUAAUAGUGCCUUGAAGAUGAUGAAAGAAUGUCUGAAUCUCUACUAGAUACACCUCAUUCUUAAACAUUUCCCAAGGUUGUGUAUAGCCUACAGAUACAGUUGACUACAGUUACAGGGAAUAUGCAACUUGAAUGAAUGCUUUAAUCUGCUUUAGUCAACUUUAGUAAGAACACUCAGUACUCAGGGAUCCGCUAAUCUGCUUUGGAACAUGCAUGUUGGCAUAAAGGUGUUCUUUUUCAUUUAGAGCCAUAAACAAAUCACCAUAUGCUGGACUGCAAUUCUCAGCUUAAGUUUAUUCACCAAAAAGAGCUUUAGCACGCUUGCUGCGCAUAGUCGGAGUAACAAAAUCAAAAUACAUCCUUCCAAAAAAUUGACAAAGCAGUGCAUGUCAAAAAUAUUUUUAAAAAAAAUCUUUCCUUGGGGUCAUUCAGAGCCACUUCCUCUGUGGCUUUUUUUAUUUUUUUGAAAACUAAACCAUACAUGAUUUGGCCAUUACCCACUGGAACUAGCUCCAAGGAGUGGUGAUUACAAGAUUACAUUAGUCACAAAUCACAAAUAUUUAAUUCUGAGUGUAUUUUUGAUGGGGUGGCUGUCAUGGCUACUAUCCUUUCACUGCUUCCAAUAUGUAUACAAGUGUAAGUAUGUAAUUUGGUUCAGGUAAAACCACCUGCUGAGUUAACAAAUUGUAUGAUUUUAAGUGCUUCAGCUGUGCAGAAAUUGUGUGAAGGUGUCUCAUUAAUCUUUUCAGAAUACACAUAGAAGCACAUGUAUAUUAAUAAACAUGGAUACACUAUCAGCUCAAAUACACUCUGGUAACACUCAUAUGAAUAUUAAUCACAUCAUGGUUUCACUCUACAUGUUCUGCAGAUUAAGUAUCAUUCCUCAACAUAGAUAGUCUUUUGUAGUGGUGGCAAGAAUUCAGACAUCUGAAGCAUGCGCAAUAGCAUGUACUUAGAUUUUAGCAUGUACUUAGAACUAUUGUACACACAUUUUAUAGUAUGAACAUGCAUUCUUUAGCUUAGAAUUAAGCAUGUAUCUGCUUACUGAAAAGAAAUAUUUGUUAUUAAAUUAAAUAAAGUUUUAUUAAAUUAAUAACUAGCUACAAAAACGUGUAAAUAAUGAGCUUUUUUCCAACCUAUUACCAAGAUGUGUUUAUCUAUACAUGCAAACAAAAAACAAAAAAGCGUGGUAAUGAUUUCUCAAUUAUAUAGUUAUGCCAAAAAAACUAUGGAAAUGUGGAUUUAUGCAUAGCAAGGAAAAUGCGAGGUGGUAUGAUAUUGUGAAUAUAGACGCAGAAUGUAAGUGUGAUAGAAAGACUAAUGCUUCACUCAGUGUCUCCACGAGAGGCCAUGUUGUUAUUACACUGCUUUCAAUCAAAAUCACUACAGAGCAAUAAAAUGCAGCAUAUGAUUACUACAACAAUAGAUCCUCAGCAACAACAGUCUCUCGCUAGACUUUUUUUACUUCACAGAACAUCCUGUUUGGCAGCGCUGAUACACAGGAGGGAAACAGCACAUCAAAUAACCUUUGAUCUGUCUACACUAAAGCUCAGGAGUAAUGUGUGUAUUAGAGCAGAUAGAUUACAUAG